ACGGGUGAGAAACACGUGGGCAACCUGCCCUUGAGACUGGGAUAACUUCGGGAAACCGGAGCUAAUACCGGAUAAUAUAAGGAACCUCCUGGUUCCUUGUUGAAAGAUGGUUUCGGCUAUCACUUAAGGAUGGGCCCGCGGCGCAUUAGCUAGUUGGUGAGGUAACGGCUCUCCAAGGCGACGAUGCGUAGCCGACCUGAGAGGGUGAUCGGCCACACUGGGACUGAGACACGGCCCAGACUCCUACGGGAGGCAGCAGUAGGGAAUCUUCCACAAUGGACGAAAGUCUGAUGGAGCAACGCCGCGUGAGUGAUGAAGGCCUUCGGGUCGUAAAGCUCUGUUGUUAGGGAAGAACAAGUGCGAGAGUAACUGCUCGCACCUUGACGGUACCUAACCAGAAAGCCACGGCUAACUACGUGCCAGCAGCCGCGGUAAUACGUAGGUGGCAAGCGUUAUCCGGAAUUAUUGGGCGUAAAGCGCGCGCAGGUGGUUUCUUAAGUCUGAUGUGAAAGCCCACGGCUCAACCGUGGAGGGUCAUUGGAAACUGGGGAACUUGAGUGCAGAAGAGGAAAGUGGAAUUCC
RNAcentral lists this ribosomal RNA (582 nucleotides) under uncultured bacterium. RNAcentral's name for it is "bacterial SSU rRNA". It matches the Rfam family "Bacterial small subunit ribosomal RNA", at positions 102 to 670 of the family's 1533-position model. The record is from RNAcentral.